CGGGACGGGUGAGUAACGCGUGGAGAACCUGCCGUAUACUGGGGGAUAACACUUAGAAAUAGGUGCUAAUACCGCAUAAGCGCACAGCUUCGCAUGAAGCAGUGUGAAAAACUCCGGUGGUAUACGAUGGAUCCGCGUCUGAUUAGCUGGUUGGCGGGGUAAAGGCCCACCAAGGCGACGAUCAGUAGCCGGCCUGAGAGGGUGAACGGCCACAUUGGGACUGAGACACGGCCCAAACUCCUACGGAAGGCAGCAG
This 256-nucleotide ribosomal RNA is filed under the name uncultured bacterium. RNAcentral's name for it is "partial 16S ribosomal RNA". It matches the Rfam family "Bacterial small subunit ribosomal RNA", at positions 98 to 354 of the family's 1533-position model. The record is from RNAcentral.